CGGACGUGGGUAACCUGCCUUAUACAGGGGGAUAACAGUCAGAAAUGGCUGCUAAUACCGCAUAAGCGCACAGAGCUGCAUGGCUCAGUGUGAAAAACUCCGGUGGUAUAAGAUGGACCCGCGUUGGAUUAGCUUGUUGGUGGGGUAACGGCCCACCAUGGCGACGAUCCAUAGCCGGCCUGAGAGGGUGAACGGCCACAUUGGGACUGAGACACGGCCCAG
Molecule: ribosomal RNA, 222 nt
Filed under: uncultured bacterium
Lineage: Bacteria
Description: partial 16S ribosomal RNA
Rfam family: Bacterial small subunit ribosomal RNA
Source: RNAcentral